AUUGAACGCUGGCGGCAGGCCUAACACAUGCAAGUCGAACGAGUGGCGGACGGGUGAGUAAUGUCUGGGAAACUGCCUGAUGGCGGGGGAUAACUACUGUAAACGGUACCUCAUACCGCUUACCCUCGUAUGUGCCCAGAUGGGAUUAGCUAGUAGGUGGGGUAACGGCUCACCUAGGCGACGAUCCCUAGCUGGUCUGAGAGGAUGACCAGCCACACUGGAACUGAGACACGGGCCAGAGUCCUACGGGAGGCAGCAGUGGGGAAUAUUGCACAAUGGGCGCAAGCCUGAUGCAGCCAUGCCGCGUGUAUGAAGAAGGCCUUCGGGUUGUAAAGUACUUUCAGCGAGGAGGCGUUACCCGCAGAAGAAGCACCGGCUAACUCCGUGCCAGCAGCCGCGGUAAUUC
This 406-nucleotide ribosomal RNA is filed under the name uncultured bacterium. RNAcentral describes it as "partial 16S ribosomal RNA". It matches the Rfam family "Bacterial small subunit ribosomal RNA", at positions 30 to 526 of the family's 1533-position model. The record is from RNAcentral.